GGUCUUCAAUGUAGCGAGAAAUUCCCGCACCCGGAGGCGUCCUUCAGCUAGCCCCUAAACAAAUAUAUACUAGUUCAGUGAUAAUGAACGCCAUACUAAUUUCCAAAUUGUACACAAGAAACUAAAAUUAAAAUAAUACAAGACUAACAAAGGCCAGAGGCUCCUGACUUGGGACAGGCGCAAAAAUGUGGCGGGGUUAAACAUGUUUAUGAGAUCUCAACCCUCCCCCUAUACC
RNAcentral lists this long non-coding RNA (235 nucleotides) under Mytilus galloprovincialis (Mediterranean mussel). The record is from RNAcentral. Lineage: Eukaryota; Metazoa; Mollusca; Bivalvia; Mytilida; Mytilidae.